UACGAAGGGGGCGAGCGUUGUUCGGAUUUACUGGGCGUAAAGAGCGCGCAGGCGGUCGUUCAAGUCGCGUGUGAAAGCCCCCGGCUCAACUGGGGAGGGUCAUUCGAUACUGAUCGACUGGAAGGCAGGAGAGGGAAGCGGAAUUCCCGGUGUAGUGGUGAAAUGCGUAGAGAUCUGGAAGAACACCAAAGGCGAAGGCAGCGUCCUGGGAAGCAUCUGACGCUCAGGAGCGAAAGCGUGGGGAGCGAACAGG
This 253-nucleotide ribosomal RNA is filed under the name uncultured bacterium. RNAcentral describes it as "partial 16S ribosomal RNA". It matches the Rfam family "Bacterial small subunit ribosomal RNA", at positions 524 to 776 of the family's 1533-position model. The record is from RNAcentral.